UGCAGUCGAGCGGACAGAUGGGAGCUUGCUCCCUGAUGUUAGCGGCGGACGGGUGAGUAACACGUGGGUAACCUGCCUGUAAGACUGGGAUAACUCCGGGAAACCGGGGCUAAUACCGGAUGGUUGUCUGAACCGCAUGGUUCAGACAUAAAAGGUGGCUUCGGCUACCACUUACAGAUGGACCCGCGGCGCAUUAGCUAGUUGGUGAGGUAACGGCUCACCAAGGCGACGAUGCGUAGCCGACCUGAGAGGGUGAUCGGCCACACUGGGACUGAGACACGGCCCAGACUCCUACGGGAGGCAGCAGUAGGGAAUCUUCCGCAAUGGACGAAAGUCUGACGGAGCAACGCCGCGUGAGUGAUGAAGGUUUUCGGAUCGUAAAGCUCUGUUGUUAGGGAAGAACAAGUGCCGUUCAAAUAGGGCGGCACCUUGACGGUACCUAACCAGAAAGCCACGGCUAACUACGUGCCAGCAGCCGCGGUAAUACGUAGGUGGCAAGCGUUGUCCGGAAUUAUUGGGCGUAAAGGGCUCGCAGGCGGUUUCUUAAGUCUGAUGUGAAAGCCCCCGGCUCAACCGGGGAGGGUCAUUGGAAACUGGGGAACUUGAGUGCAGAAGAGGAGAGUGGAAUUCCACGUGUAGCGGUGAAAUGCGUAGAGAUGUGGAGGAACACCAGUGGCGAAGGCGACUCUCUGGUCUGUAACUGACGCUGAGGAGCGAAAGCGUGGGGAGCGAACAGGAUUAGAUACCCUGGUAGUCCACGCCGUAA
RNAcentral lists this ribosomal RNA (766 nucleotides) under Bacillus amyloliquefaciens. RNAcentral describes it as "bacterial SSU rRNA". It matches the Rfam family "Bacterial small subunit ribosomal RNA", at positions 56 to 805 of the family's 1533-position model. The record is from RNAcentral. Lineage: Bacteria; Bacillati; Bacillota; Bacilli; Caryophanales; Bacillaceae.